Molecule: unclassified non-coding RNA, 1935 nt
Organism: Apis florea (little honeybee)
Lineage: Eukaryota; Metazoa; Arthropoda; Insecta; Hymenoptera; Apidae
Source: RefSeq, a predicted model, not a curated record
UAUUAUUUAAUUAAAAAAUAAAAAUAAUGUUUGUUAAAUCUAAUUCAACUGGUAAAUCUAAAGAUAAACAAUUACAGUUAAUUAGAAUGACAGAAUAUUCAACAUGUUCAAAAUUAACAAAUAAAAAAGAUUGUAAAAGACCUCAACCAAUUAAAAUUGCACAAUUACUUGGACAAUCUGAAAAUUUAAAAACUAUUCAAAAAGACAGUGUACGUAAAAGAGCACAACCUGAAAGAUUGGGAACAUUAUCAAAUAAAAAAUAUUCAGGAAUAAAUAAAGAACAAAGUGAAACAAGUACUUAUAUUCAAUCUUCUAAGAAAAGUGCACGUAGAAUUCUUAAUUUUAGUGCAAUUUCUACAAAUACAAAAGACAACAAUGAAGAUAAAAAUCAAUUAAAUAAAAUUGUAAUUAAUGAACAGUUUCAUAAAAAAAUUUCUAAACCGAUAAGAAAAAGUUCAUUAAUUCCACCAAAUACUAUAAAAGAUAAAUUCAUACAAAACUAUUCUGAGAAAAUAAGUAAGAAUUCACAAAUAUUUAAAACAUUAAAAAAAACAAAUGAAGUAAAUGUUGAACCUGCAAAUAAAAUCAUAACUGAUUCCUCAAACAUCAAUAUUAAUUCUAUUAACAAUGGAGAAGUAAAUGAAGAGAAAAAUAUUCAAUUUUCUGAUUAUUCAAGAUCAAAAUUUAGUGAUAUAAAUGUUCAACAACAUGAAGCAUUACUUGUUACUCCAAAAUCUCCAAUUUUUUCUAACUAUGAAUCUUCUCAACAAGUAAUAACAAAUAAUAAUGAAUUUGAAAAAAAUUCUAUGAGUCCAAACAAAAAUGUUUCAAAAUAUAACAUAUCCAUAAAAUCUCCUUUAAAAAAAGAUGAUUGUAUUCAAAAUUUAUGUAAUUGUAUUCAGGAUAUAAAGCUAUUAGCUUCUGAAACUAAUGUGAAUAUGGAAUAUGAAUCAUCUGAGAUAAUCUGUAUAAAUAAAGACAAAAUUAUUCAUUUGGAAUGUGAAUUAAAAGAUUUAUUAAAAAAAACAGAAAAAAAUAUGAUUAAAUUAAAAUCAACAUUAGAAGAAACAGAAAAAAAUGUGAUUAAGUUAAAAUCAACAUUAGCAUUUGUCACAAGAUUAUUAUGUACAAAUGAUAAAGAAAUUACACUUUCCAAUAUUGAAUUAAAAGAAAAUACUAUGACAAAUAAAGAAAUUGAAUUAAAAACUUGUUGUAAAUCAAUUCAAUAUGCAGAAGAACAAUUAAAAACACCUAUUUUACAUAUUUCACAAGUUACAGAGUUUUCAAAUAAAAAUAAUUCAAUUCAAAAUGAUGAAAAUAAAGAAAAUAAUAAAGAUUGGAAUAUAAGAUCUGAUAUUGAAACAGACAGAAGUUUUCUAGAAUUAGAAAAUCAACUUAAUAUUAUGCAUGUAAAACCUAAUCAUGAUUAUUCAAUUCAACCAAAUACUCCUAUAAUUACAAAGUAUAAACAAAAACGAUCAUUUAGAGAAUAUAUGGCUUUAAAGUCAAGUAUAAAUUUCUUAGAAACUCCAGAUGGUAAAAAAUUUAAAUCCUUAUGUCAGAUGGAUGAUGUAGAUAAAUCUGUUCUCAAUGUAACAUAUAUAUCAAAUAAAUUGCUUACAGAUCUUCAUACUUUAUAUUCUGAAUCACCAGAUUCUUAAUUAUGAAUUUUUUUUAAUUAUAAUGAAUUGAAACAUUGUAAAAAUAUCCAGUUAAUUUAUAGUUUAUUUUAAUGAUACUCAAUCAAUGGCAUAACUACUCUCACAUAAGCUUACUAGGGAUGGUUUCUGUCAGAGUGAAAUCAUUAACUGUAUAAUGACAUUUAAACUAGGAGUUCUUGUUUCUAAAUUAGUUUUUUAUAUUAUUUUUAAAACAAUUUGUGUAUUAUGUUAUGUCUCUUAAACUUCUUAUAACAAAUCUAAUUCUCGUAUUUUA